This 411-nucleotide ribosomal RNA is filed under the name Bacillota bacterium. RNAcentral describes it as "Firmicutes bacterium partial 16S ribosomal RNA". It matches the Rfam family "Bacterial small subunit ribosomal RNA", at positions 355 to 776 of the family's 1533-position model. The record is from RNAcentral. Lineage: Bacteria; Bacillati; Bacillota.
UGGGGAAUAUUGCACAAUGGGCGCAAGCCUGAUGCAGCGACGCCGCGUGGGGGAUGAAGGCCUUCGCGUUGUAAACUCCUUUCGCUAGGGACGAAGCCUAUGGUGACGGUACCUGGAGAAGAAGCACCGGCUAACUACGUGCCAGCAGCCGCGGUAAUACGUAGGGUGCGAGCGUUGUCCGGAAUUACUGGGCGUAAAGAGCUCGUAGGUGGUUUGUCGCGUCGUCUGUGAAAUCCCGGGGCUUAACUUCGGGCGUGCAGGCGAUACGGGCAUAACUUGAGUGCUGUAGGGGAGACUGGAAUUCCUGGUGUAGCGGUGAAAUGCGCAGAUAUCAGGAGGAACACCAAUGGCGAAGGCAGGUCUCUGGGCAGUAACUGACGCUGAGGAGCGAAAGCAUGGGUAGCGAACAGG